UAAGACAGAGGGUGCAAACGUUGUUCGGAAUUACUGGGCGUAAAGCGUGUGUAGGCGGCUCUGCAAGUCGGAUGUGAAAGCCCCGGGCUCAACCUGGGAAGUGCACUCGAAACUGCUGAGCUUGAGUAUCGGAGAGGUUGGUGGAAUUCUCGGUGGAGAGGUGAAAUUCGUAGAUAUCGAGGGGAACACCAGUGGCGAAGGCGGCCAACUGGACGAAUACUGACGCUGAGACACGAAAGCGUGGGGAGCAAACAGGAUUAGAUACCCUGGUAGUCCACGCCGUAAACGAUGGGUGCUAGGUGUCACGGGCUUUGACUCUUGUGGCGCCGUAGCUAACGCGUUAAGCACCCCGCCUGGGAAGUACGGCCGCAAGGCUA
RNAcentral lists this ribosomal RNA (377 nucleotides) under uncultured bacterium. RNAcentral describes it as "bacterial SSU rRNA". It matches the Rfam family "Bacterial small subunit ribosomal RNA", at positions 521 to 896 of the family's 1533-position model. The record is from RNAcentral.